Dromiciops gliroides (monito del monte) is the source of this 191-nucleotide small nuclear RNA. RefSeq annotates it as U2 spliceosomal RNA. The transcript has a single exon. NCBI's taxonomy places the organism in Eukaryota, Metazoa, Chordata, Mammalia, Microbiotheria, Microbiotheriidae. The record is from RefSeq and is a predicted model, not a curated record.
AUCGCUUCUCGGCCUUUUAACUAAGAUCAAGUGUAGUAUCUGUUCUUGUCAGUUUAAUAUUUGAUACGUUUUCUAUCCGAGAACAACAUAUUAAAAGGACUUUCGAAGCCAGGAGGGGGAAUAGGAGCUUGCUUCGUCCACUCCACGCAUCGACCCGGUAUUGUAAUAUUUCCGCGACCGGUGCAUUCCCC